GCCUCCGUGCUGUUUCCAAGGGCUGGAGCCCCACACUGAUUUAUUUGGUAACCAUCACAGGAAUUUCAGAAAAUGAGAACUGGAGGAGGAAGCGAGGCCUGAAGUAAUUAAGAUGAUUUGUUACACGCGAUUCAGAGCCUUCAGAUGAGAGUGAAUAUUAAGCUUAGUAUUUACAACACACCCAGAAGAACAGUACCUUCCGAUAACCCAUUCUAAAAUGGAGAAGAUACUGGAUGGGGAAGGUUUCAAGAAGUCAUAAAGAGAGAAAGGAGAG
This is a long non-coding RNA of Cebus imitator (Panamanian white-faced capuchin), 274 nucleotides long. RefSeq lists it as uncharacterized. The transcript is spliced from 3 exons. NCBI's taxonomy places the organism in Eukaryota, Metazoa, Chordata, Mammalia, Primates, Cebidae. The record is from RefSeq and is a predicted model, not a curated record.